GAUGAACGCUAGCGGGAGGCCUAACACAUGCGAGCCGAGCGGUAUUGUUUCUUCGGAAAUGAGAGAGCGGCGUACGGGUGCGUAACACGUGUGCAACCUGCCUUUAUCUGGGGGAUAGCCUUUCGAAAGGAAGAUUAAUACUCCAUAAUAUAUUGAACGGCAUCGUUUAAUAUUGAAAGCUCCGGCGGAUAGAGAUGGGCACGCGCAAGAUUAGCUAGUUGGUGAGGUAACGGCUCACCAAGGCGAUGAUCUUUAGGGGGCCUGAGAGGGUGAUCCCCCACACUGGUACUGAGACACGGACCAGACUCCUACGGGAGGCAGCAGUGAGGAAUAUUGGUCAAUGGGUGCAAGCCUGAACCAGCCAUCCCGCGUGAAGGACGACUGCCCUAUGGGUUGUAAACUUCUUUUGUAUAGGGAUAAACCUACCCUCGAGAGGGUAGCUGAAGGUACUAUACGAAUAAGCACCGGCUAACUCCGUG
RNAcentral lists this ribosomal RNA (479 nucleotides) under uncultured bacterium. RNAcentral's name for it is "partial 16S ribosomal RNA". It matches the Rfam family "Bacterial small subunit ribosomal RNA", at positions 28 to 507 of the family's 1533-position model. The record is from RNAcentral.